AUUGAACGCUGGCGGCAUGCCUUACACAUGCAAGUCGAACGACAGCACGGGUGCUUGCACCUGGUGGCGAGUGGCGAACGGGUGAGUAAUACAUCGGAACAUGUCCUGUAGUGGGGGAUAGCCCGGCGAAAGCCGGAUUAAUACCGCAUACGAUCUACGGAUGAAAGCGGGGGACCUUCGGGCCUCGCGCUAUAGGGUUGGCCGAUGGCUGAUUAGCUAGUUGGUGGGGUAAAGGCCUACCAAGGCGACGAUCAGUAGCUGGUCUGAGAGGACGACCAGCCACACUGGGACUGAGACACGGCCCAGACUCCUACGGGAGGCAGCAGUGGGGAAUUUUGGACAAUGGGCGAAAGCCUGAUCCAGCAAUGCCGCGUGUGUGAAGAAGGCCUUCGGGUUGUAAAGCACUUUUGUCCGGAAAGAAAUCCUUGGCUCUAAUACAGUCGGGGGAUGACGGUACCGGAAGAAUAAGCACCGGCUAACUACGUG
This 486-nucleotide ribosomal RNA is filed under the name uncultured bacterium. RNAcentral describes it as "partial 16S ribosomal RNA". It matches the Rfam family "Bacterial small subunit ribosomal RNA", at positions 30 to 507 of the family's 1533-position model. The record is from RNAcentral.